Molecule: non-coding RNA, 63 nt
Organism: Equus caballus (horse)
Lineage: Eukaryota; Metazoa; Chordata; Mammalia; Perissodactyla; Equidae
Source: Rfam
UCUUUAGUAUAACUAUGUCCCAUGCAAUAUUUAUGCAAUAUUUGGGACAUACUUAUGCUAAAA